AUGAACGCUGGCGGCGUGCCUAAUACAUGCAAGUCGAGCGAACAGACGAGGAUCUUGCUCCUCUGACGUUAGCGGCGGACGGGUGAGUAACACGUGGAUAACCUACCUAUAAGACUGGGAUAACUUCGGGAAACCGGAGCUAAUACCGGAUAAUAUAUUGAACCGCACGGUUCAAUAGUGAAAGACGGUUUUGCUGUCACUUAUAGAUGGAUCCGCGCCGCAUUAGCUAGUUGGUAAGGUAACGGCUUACCAAGGCAACGAUGCGUAGCCGACCUGAGAGGGUGAUCGGCCACACUGGAACUGAGACACGGUCCAGACUCCUACGGGAGGCAGCAGUAGGGAAUCUUCCGCAAUGGGCGAAAGCCUGACGGAGCAACGCCGCGUGAGUGAUGAAGGUCUUCGGAUCGUAAAACUCUGUUAUUAGGGAAGAACAAAUGUGUAAGUAACUAUGCACGUCUUGACGGUACCUAAUCAGAAAGCCACGGCUAACUACGCG
This 496-nucleotide ribosomal RNA is filed under the name uncultured bacterium. RNAcentral's name for it is "partial 16S ribosomal RNA". It matches the Rfam family "Bacterial small subunit ribosomal RNA", at positions 29 to 507 of the family's 1533-position model. The record is from RNAcentral.